This is a non-coding RNA of Erinaceus europaeus (western European hedgehog), 351 nucleotides long. NCBI's taxonomy places the organism in Eukaryota, Metazoa, Chordata, Mammalia, Eulipotyphla, Erinaceidae. The record is from the annotation of a RefSeq genome assembly.
AUGGAUCUCUGGCUUCUCCAUUAUGUGGCACUCUGUCUCCUUGGAGCAGGCUCACUUUGUGCAGAAGUUGUCCAGACUCCGGGACAACUGGUCAAAGGAAAGGGACAGAAAGCCAGUGUGAGCUGUGUGCCAAUCAAAGGAUGUGACUAUGUUUACUGGUAUCAACUGAUUCCUGGAAAAGAGUUUAAGUUCUUGAUUUCCUUUCAGAAUGAAGAUGUAUUGUAUGAAGGAGAGAUGUCCAAAGAAAGAUUUGUAGCUGAGUGUCCUACAGGUAGGCUAGAGAUCCAGUCCACAGAGCUGCAGGAUUCUGCAGUGUAUUUCUGUGCCAGCAAUAUAGGCCAGGACACAUAA